CUGGAGUUUUCAGGAUUUACCUGACUGUAAAAGAUCUGUGACAGCUUUUGGCAUUUGAGUGUUAGGCAGAACGCUUUUCCAGUAUACUUCGGGAGGGAGGGCUGCAUGACUCGUCGCUAGUGCAAUCUGCAACAAAGCGAUCCGGUUGGGCUUUAUUGUGAAUCUUUCUGCUCCUCAACUUGCUGAACUUCCUGUUGCCCAUUGCCAUUUAUGGACUAGAGAUGCUUUAAUGCCCGGCCUAACUACCAAAGGAAAUUAUGCCCCCAAUAAAUUGAUGUACUGCAUAACUGUUCUGGUGUCCUAUUCGUCUCUCUUCUUCUCCUCAUUUAUAAUCUAUUAUCUGUAUAAUAUGUAUACAUUUCCUCAUGAAAAUUCUAUUUGACAAUAUUUCAUGAAGCUAUGUCAUGCAUGCCUUCAAUUAAAAGAAAAUUGUGUAGCUUAUCAAAAAGAUUAAUUGUGAUAUUAAAUAAUAACAUAUAAUAAACUUAUUUAAUGAUAAAA
Ricinus communis (castor bean) is the source of this 501-nucleotide long non-coding RNA. RefSeq lists it as uncharacterized. The record is from RefSeq and is a predicted model, not a curated record. NCBI's taxonomy places the organism in Eukaryota, Viridiplantae, Streptophyta, Magnoliopsida, Malpighiales, Euphorbiaceae. The transcript is spliced from 2 exons.